UACGAAGGGGGCUAGCGUUGUUCGGAUUUACUGGGCGUAAAGAGCGCGCAGGCGGUCGUUCAAGUCGCGUGUGAAAGCCCCCGGCUCAACUGGGGAGGGUCACGCGAUACUGAUCGACUCGAAGGCAGGAGAGGGUAGUGGAAUUCCCGGUGUAGUGGUGAAAUGCGUAGAUAUCGGGAGGAACACCAGUGGCGAAGGCGACUACCUGGCCUGUUCUUGACGCUGAGGCGCGAAAGCUAGGGGAGCAAACGGG
This 253-nucleotide ribosomal RNA is filed under the name uncultured bacterium. RNAcentral describes it as "partial 16S ribosomal RNA". It matches the Rfam family "Bacterial small subunit ribosomal RNA", at positions 524 to 776 of the family's 1533-position model. The record is from RNAcentral.